AUUGAACGCUGGCGGCAGGCCUAACACAUGCCAGUCGAGCGGAUGAAGGGAGCUUGCUCCUGGAUUCAGCGGCGGACGGGUGAGUAAUGCCUAGGAAUCUGCCUGGUAGUGGGGGAUAACGUCCGGAAACGGGCGCUAAUACCGCAUACGUCCUGAGGGAGAAAGUGGGGGAUCUUCGGACCUCACGCUAUCAGAUGAGCCUAGGUCGGAUUAGCUAGUUGGUGGGGUAAAGGCCUACCAAGGCGACGAUCCGUAACUGGUCUGAGAGGAUGAUCAGUCACACUGGAACUGAGACACGGUCCAGACUCCUACGGGAGGCAGCAGUGGGGAAUAUUGGACAAUGGGCGAAAGCCUGAUCCAGCCAUGCCGCGUGUGUGAAGAAGGUCUUCGGAUUGUAAAGCACUCUAAGUUGGGAGGAAGGGCAGUAAGUUAAUACCUUGCUGUUUUGACGUUACCAACAGAAUAAGCACCGGCUAACUUCGU
Molecule: ribosomal RNA, 483 nt
Filed under: uncultured bacterium
Lineage: Bacteria
Description: partial 16S ribosomal RNA
Rfam family: Bacterial small subunit ribosomal RNA
Source: RNAcentral